RNAcentral lists this ribosomal RNA (492 nucleotides) under uncultured bacterium. RNAcentral's name for it is "partial 16S ribosomal RNA". It matches the Rfam family "Bacterial small subunit ribosomal RNA", at positions 28 to 507 of the family's 1533-position model. The record is from RNAcentral.
GAUGAACGCUAGCUACAGGCUUAACACAUGCAAGUCGAGGGGAAACGACAUCGAAAGCUUGCUUUUGAUGGGCGUCGACCGGCGCACGGGUGAGUAACGCGUAUCCCACCUGCCCAUCACUUGGGAAUAACCUUGCGAAAGUAAGACUAAUACCCAAUGAUAUCCCACGAAGGCAUCGGAAUGGGAUUCAAGAUUUAUCGGUGAUGGAUGGGGAUGCGUCUGAUUAGCUUGUUGGCGGGGUAACGGCCCACCAAGGCAACGAUCAGUAGGGGUUCUGAGAGGAAGGUCCCCCACAUUUGAACUGAGACACGGUCCAAACUCCUACGGGAGGCAGCAGUGAGGAAUAUUGGUCAAUGGGCGAGAGCCUGAACCAGCCAAGUAGCGUGCAGGAAGACGGCCCUAUGGGUUGUAAACUGCUUUUAUAAGGGAAUAAAGUGGGUCACGUGUGACUUUUUGCAUGUACCUUAUGAAUAAGGACCGGCUAAUUCCGUG